Molecule: long non-coding RNA, 1053 nt
Filed under: Olea europaea subsp. europaea
Lineage: Eukaryota; Viridiplantae; Streptophyta; Magnoliopsida; Lamiales; Oleaceae
Source: RNAcentral
AAAGUGAUUCCAAAAUGCAUGAUACCAGCGGUUACUUUAGAUUUAUCUUUAGUGUUUGUCUAAGGGAGAGCUUAGAGAACCACCCUUAAGGGGAGAAGAACAAUAUUGAUUGACUUGCAGAAAUUCACACAAACAUACACAUUGAGUUUUUUACAAGCAGAUAUGACCCAUACUCCAAACUGAAACCAGUGGCAAUUGAUUAUACAAGUAUCAAAAAAAAAAAAAAAAAAGUGGGGCGAAAACAAAAACAAAAUAUUGAUGGACAUUCCAAGCUUAGAAAGAGAGCGUGACUGCGUUCUUAAUAAGCCGUGUUCAAAUUAAGUAUAAUGUGUUUUAUCAAUUCUAGUAACUCUAUUUCUUAAUGAUCAUACAGCUUUUGGAUAUCCCAGCAUCAGAAACUCUUAUAAUACACCGAAUUUCACCGUGAAUCAAAUGGAUUAGAGAAUUGAUUAAACAAAUAAAAACAAGAAUAUCCCAAUUCUAUUUAAAAAAAGGAACAAAAUGCGGGGCUGAACGAACUUUCUGUUUGACGACAGGAGAUUUAUGCUGGAGGCGUUUGAGGAUGAAUUCGGAUACUUCCUUAACGAUGCUGACGUGGGAUGACCUCAGAAGCUCGCAAAUCUCCUCCAAUUUGUAGACCGGAGUAACCUUGUCCUCGUCCGACGUCGCACCGUCUAUCAUCUUCGACCUCCAGUAAGACUCCACCGCUCUCCUGCUCUGCUCCAUUUUCUCUGAUUUAUCUCUUUUUACUUAUCAAUAAUCAAUCAAAAAAAUUCCGCUGACAGAUCUAUCGAUCGAUCCAAAAAAAUAUGAAUAAUUAACCAAAUAAUCAAAAUUAAUGAUCAACCAAUCGUCACAACUGAAGCCGAUAUGGAUAUUGAAUUCGAGAAAUGUAAAGGAAUUGGAUGAACAGUCUAGGGAUUUUUAAGGGGUUUUGUUCUUUUAUUUUUAUUUUUGCAGUUUGAGAAAAUUAAUUAUCACAUAAAAAUCGUGGAAAAAUCGUUGUUGGGUGUAUGAUGUAGAAACGUGUGAUGCUACUUUCUCAACAUUCUG